GACGAACGCUGGCGGCGUGCUUAACACAUGCAAGUCGAACGCUGAAGCUUGGUGCUUGCACUGGGUGGAUGAGUGGCGAACGGGUGAGUAAUACGUGAGUAACCUGCCCUUGACUCUGGGAUAAGCCUGGGAAACUGGGUCUAAUACUGGAUACGACAUGUCACCGCAUGGUGGUGUGUGGAAAGGGUUUUACUGGUUUUGGAUGGGCUCACGGCCUAUCAGCUUGUUGGUGGGGUAAUGGCUCACCAAGGCGACGACGGGUAGCCGGCCUGAGAGGGCGACCGGCCACACUGGGACUGAGACACGGCCCAGACUCCUACGGGAGGCAGCAGUGGGGAAUAUUGCACAAUGGGCGGAAGCCUGAUGCAGCGACGCCGCGUGAGGGAUGACGGCCUUCGGGUUGUAAACCUCUUUCAGCACGGAAGAAGCGAAAGUGACGGUACGUGCAGAAGAAGCGCCGGCUAACUACGUG
Molecule: ribosomal RNA, 472 nt
Filed under: uncultured bacterium
Lineage: Bacteria
Description: partial 16S ribosomal RNA
Rfam family: Bacterial small subunit ribosomal RNA
Source: RNAcentral